This 64-nucleotide transfer RNA is filed under the name Tropostreptus severus. Its description in RNAcentral is "tRNA-Ile". The record is from RNAcentral. Lineage: Eukaryota; Metazoa; Arthropoda; Diplopoda; Spirostreptida; Spirostreptidae.
AUUAGGGUGCCUGAGAAAAGGGUUAUUCUGAUAUUAUAAUUUACGUAAUUAUUUACCCCUAAUA